This 743-nucleotide long non-coding RNA is filed under the name Ananas comosus (pineapple). RNAcentral's name for it is "long non-coding RNA (ACOM_LNC011193)". Lineage: Eukaryota; Viridiplantae; Streptophyta; Magnoliopsida; Poales; Bromeliaceae. The record is from RNAcentral.
AAAGAUUUAACAUUUGAUACCUGAGAUAUCAAGUUUGAAGUCUUAUUAUUUUUUCUUGCUGAUUUUUUUUCGUAAAAUUUUUUUUUUAUUUGAGAGAUAGAUAGCACGCUACCCGCUUCGUUUUAUUUUAUUUAGAAAUAAACUUAGCUGGAAAAUGUAAAUCAACUAGGAUUCGAACUUAGGUCUCGUGUACCAACCACCAAACCCUUUGUCACCUGCUCUAGGGACGGUCUGUUUUGUAAAAAAGAUUGAAUGAAGCAUAUAUAGCUUUAUAGGAUCAGAGUAUUAUUCGGACAUAAAAAGAAAAACAUAUCUGGAUAAGAUCGAGGUGGAUGGACUGUCUAGCUAACGAACUAAUUAACAACUCCGAUACAUUGGAAUAAUUGUCUACUUGUUGUGAGAAGUAACCACCACGAUUUAGUAAAUAAAUAAUGCAAUGGCAAUGAGGCUUUUACAAAUCCCCCUUUCAUUUCGUAUUCUUUGUCAACUUACACGUAUAUAUAUAAAUACCACUUAUACGUCGACUCUUAUAUUCUUAUAUUCAAAAAUAAACUCUUAUAUUACUGACCGUUCCUUGAGCAAGUGGCAAAGGGUUUGGUGGUUGGUACUCGAAAUCCAAAUUCAAAUCCUAGUUGAUUCACAUUUCCAGCUAAGUUUUUCUAAAUGAAAUAAACGAAGCGGGUAGCGUCCUACCUAUCUCUUAAAAAAAAAAAAAUAAAAAAAAAUAAACUCUUAUAUUCUAU